UGGGGAAUAUUGCACAAUGGGCGCGAGCCUGAUGCAGCCAUGCCGCGUGUAUGAAGAAGGCCUUCGGGUUGUAAAGUACUUUCAGCGGGGAGGAAGGGAGUAAAGUUAAUACCUUUGCUCAUUGACGUUACCCGCAGAAGAAGCACCGGCUAACUCCGUGCCAGCAGCCGCGGUAAUACGGAGGGUGCAAGCGUUAAUCGGAAUUACUGGGCGUAAAGCGCACGCAGGCGGUUUGUUAAGUCAGAUGUGAAAUCCCCGGGCUCAACCUGGGAACUGCAUCUGAUACUGGCAAGCUUGAGUCUCGUAGAGGGGGGUAGAAUUCCAGGUGUAGCGGUGAAAUGCGUAGAGAUCUGGAGGAAUACCGGUGGCGAAGGCGGCCCCCUGGACGAAGACUGACGCUCAGGUGCGAAAGCGUGGGGAGCAAACAGG
Molecule: ribosomal RNA, 429 nt
Filed under: Chloroflexota bacterium
Lineage: Bacteria; Bacillati; Chloroflexota
Description: Chloroflexi bacterium partial 16S ribosomal RNA
Rfam family: Bacterial small subunit ribosomal RNA
Source: RNAcentral